This 855-nucleotide ribosomal RNA is filed under the name uncultured Bacteroidota bacterium. RNAcentral describes it as "bacterial SSU rRNA". It matches the Rfam family "Bacterial small subunit ribosomal RNA", at positions 70 to 902 of the family's 1533-position model. The record is from RNAcentral. Lineage: Bacteria; Pseudomonadati; Bacteroidota.
AAAGUCCCCUUCGGGGGAUAAGUAAAGUGGCGCACGGGUGAGUAACACGUAGGUAAUCUACCUUCGGGUGGGGAAUAACCCAGGGAAACUUGGGCUAACACCGCAUAAUGCAGCGGCACCACAUGGUGACAGUUGUUAAAGCGGGGGAUUUUCGGACCUCGCGCCUGAAGAGGAGCCUGCGGCGGAUUAGCUAGUUGGUAAGGUAACGGCUUACCAAGGCGACGAUCCGUAGCCGGCCUGAGAGGGCGGUCGGCCACACUGACACUGACAUACGGGUCAGACUCCUACGGGAGGCAGCAGUCGGGAAUUUUGGGCAAUGGGCGAAAGCCUGACCCAGCAACGCCGCGUGAAGGAUGAAAUCCCUCGGGAUGUAAACUUCGCAAGAAUGGGAAGAAUUAGCGAGCGCUAAUACCGCUCGUGAUGACGGUACCAUUUGUAAGCUCCGGCUAACUCCGUGCCAGCAGCCGCGGUAAUACGGGGGGAGCAAGCGUUGCUCGGAUUUACUGGGCGUAAAGGGCGCGUAGGCGGUCAGCACAAGUCAGUUGUGAAAUCUCCGGGCUUAACUCGGAAAGGUCAACUGAUACUGUGCGACUAGAGUGCGGAAGGGGCAACUGGAAUUCUCGGUGUAGCGGUGAAAUGCGUAGAUAUCGAGAGGAACACCUGCGGCGAAGGCGGGUUGCUGGGCCGACACUGACGCUGAUGCGCGAAAGCCAGGGGAGCGAACGGGAUUAGAUACCCCGGUAGUCCUGGCCUUAAACGAUGGAUGCUUGGUGUCUGGGGUUUUAUAGUCCCCGGGUGCCGUAGCUAACGCGUUAAGCAUCCCGCCUGGGGAGUACGGUCGCAAGACUGAAACUC